This 975-nucleotide long non-coding RNA is filed under the name Homo sapiens (human). RNAcentral describes it as "HSALNT0071462". Lineage: Eukaryota; Metazoa; Chordata; Mammalia; Primates; Hominidae. The record is from RNAcentral.
CUAGAAAGAUGUGUGUCUAUACUUUCCAAAAACAGCCACAGAAUUAAAGCCAAACAUGCUCUUCUAGAAUCUUGCCACUCCCCAUUGAGAGGUGAAAUCUGGCCAGACUCUGUGGCUCAUGCCUGUAAUCCUAACACUUUGGGAGGUCAAGGCAGGAGGAACGCUUGAGCCCAGGCUAUGGUCAAGCCAUUGCCCUCCAUCCUGGGUGACAGAGCAAGACCCUGUCAAAGAAGAAAGGAGGAAGAAGGAAGAAGAAAGGAAAGAGGGAGGAAGGAAAGAGAGAAAUCUGUUUGCCCUCCUCUUGAACCUGGACAGGCCUGUGACUGCUACACCCAAGAAUAUAGGAAAGGUGUUAUGACUUCUUACACUAAGUUCUCUCCCUCUCCCAUCUCCUCUCAGGAGGGAUGUUCUCCCUUGGAACCAGGCCACCAUUCUAUGAGGAAGCCAAGCAGCCACAUGAAAAGGCCGUAUGUAGACAUUCUAACUGACAAUACUAGCUAAGGUUCCAGCUACUCACCAGCAUCAACUAUCAGACAAAUUCCUAUCAUUAAUAGAAGAAACUAUAUGCCAAGUGACAGCCAGUGAAGCAGAACAACAGGAGAAGACGGCGAAGCCAGAAGCAAAUUAUUUCAAUGGAAGAAAAAUCCCCUCUCCAGGUUGUUUUCAUUGGUAUAAGGAUAUGAGUUACUUUUUAAAAAGGAACACUAGGCGGCCGGGCACAGUGGCUCACAUCUGUAAUCCUAGCACUUUGGGAGGCCGAGGUGGAUGGAUCACAAGGUCAGGAGUUCGAGACCAGUCUGGCCAACAUAGUGAAACCGUCUCUACUAAAAAUACAAAAAAUUAGCCGGGUGUGGUGGCGUGCACCUGUAAUCCCAGAUACUCAGGAGGCUGAGACAUGAGAGGCAGAGGCUGCAGUGAGCCGAGAUCACACCACUGCACUCCAGCCUGGGCAACACAGCAAGACUCUGUUUCAAA